UGGUUUAGACCACAGCACCACCCACAUCCCUUCUGCUUUUAGUACUUGGUUUCUAAACAGUUUAGGGCUUUGUAUGCGAGGACAAACACUAGCAGUAUCCCUGGAGCCCUCUCUCUGAAAGUACCGCCUGCUCUCGAGACCACAGAAACCUACUGGAUGCCAUCAGCUUCAGGGGAGUUAUUUCGCAUGCCCCUCAGUCCCCAUACCUUCAGCUUGUUAACAGGCCUAAUGGGUCAGGGAUAUAUUUAGUUGCAGUGCUGGGUGACCUGCGCUUUCUCUUUGCAGGUUCCACAGUAAAGGGCCUCGGCAUCGUAAUACCGGCAGCCGUUGUUCCGUGUGUGUGUGCUGCCGCUGUGGUGAUCACUAUUGCCUGUGUCGCUGAAAGGGUCAUCAAUAAACCCAAUAAUGAAUGAGCAUGAAAGAAUGAAGCUGAACCCGAGCGAGUUGCUCCUUGUCACAUUGUGUGUCUUUGCCCAAGGAAACUAAGCACAAAUAAAUCAUUCAGUUGGAUGUAUUCCGUGUGACUCGCUUAUUUUGCUUAUACAACCAAUCAGCCGCAAUCCAGUGACACACUUUGGCAAUACCAGGCUCGGGAUUUAAUGAUCCGAACAGCCCCCAUCUGUUUUCCAAUGACAAUACGUGUCCCUUGAUUCGUUUCAAAAUGUGUCACACCAGCCUUCUUGCAUGGGGGGGGGGCUUCCUGGCUGACCUUAGUCCCACAACCGAAGAGCCCAUUUAUAUGAC
This 744-nucleotide long non-coding RNA is filed under the name Podarcis muralis (Common wall lizard). RNAcentral describes it as "lncRNA (ENSPMRG00000001128.1)". The record is from RNAcentral. Lineage: Eukaryota; Metazoa; Chordata; Lepidosauria; Squamata; Lacertidae.